UGAAAUUCCUUGGCUUUUCUUUUAAGCCUUUUCGUUAACUCUUCAGUCCUCAGUCCUCACAUUCUCACACACAUCCAUCAUCCAUGCAUGUUAGGUUGCUUGAAUGCUUUGAUUCUAAAGUCUAAACACAUUUAAUGCUAAUAGUAUGAUCAUACUAAAAAGGAGAAAAUUUUGGCUGUUUAUGGUGGAUGAUGCUGUAUCAAUGGCAUACGCGGCCCCACUGCAGGUAGUGACCAGAUUUGUACAGCCUCCACCAUGGAGGCACUACGCAUCCAGAUUCAACACAGGCGUUUUUCCGGGCUGAUUUCUCUCUCAGACAGGCAAAAUUUGGAGCCUCAGAUCCUGGAGCUCCCGUUACUCUCUCUCUUUCUGAAACUUGGGUGGGCUUCUUUUCCUUUAAGUAGCCGAUUUUGACUCCAGCACCUGCGAGAUUUUCGGUCUUAGAAUGGGGGUUUCUGUUUCUCUUUACUCGUGUUCUUUUUUUCUUUUGUACGGUAUCUUCUCUCUUCCUUGUUGAAACUUCMUCUCAAAAGUUCGGAUUUUGGGUUCUGAAUUCUUUUCAUCUUCUUUUCUCAAUUUUGCUUCUGGGCAUCUUCUUUUUGAAUUUUGUUUCUGGGUCUCCUUGGUGGGUUACAUGGAAGGAAAGAAGAAUGGUACAAGAAGAACAGUAUCAGAGGUGGUGUAGCAAUAGCAGCAGCGGUGGUGGUGGCAGUGGAAGUAGAUCUACUAAGAAGCUGAAACAGAAAAAGAUCCCACAAAGAGGACUCGGCGUUGCCCAGCUAGAGAAGAUCCGAUUGGAAGAGCAGCAGAAGAAGGACGCGGCAUCAGUGGCAGUUGUGCCAUCGUCGCCGUGCAUCGUCAUUCCCCUCCCUCCACACAACCCUUAUCACUCACAAUCUUCUGUACCUUUUCCGCCACCUCCAGUUGAUCUCUCUUCAUCCAGUUCUCUGUUCAGACCAGUUGCUCCCUCUAUUCCGAUCUCUACCCAUGAUCUCUUUGUUCUACCUCCACCGAAUCCAACACCACCACCACUUCAUGGUCUUCCCAGUAGCCCUCUAGGCGCUGAAGGGGGAGUUUUCUCUGCGCUUGGUGAUUCGGCCGUCACAGGUGCAGGAGAUGCUUAUCUUCAGUCCAUUUGGAAUUCUCAUGAACUUAGUGAAGGUUCUAAAUUGGACCCGGGUUUCACAUUUCGCAGCCGUUUACAGAAUGACAACACAAUUUGGCUUCCCCCAGUUAUCACACACAGUAAACAACCUCAACAACAGCAUUCUUCAUCAUCAAUGGUGAAUGCUGCCUCGGUGACUUCAUCGUCCUCUGGAGUAAAUCUUCAGAUGGAGCCCCCUUCAAACCAAAGCUAUUAUAGCAACUAUAUACAACUACUUUGGCCUGAAGAGAAGAUGGUUGGCAUAAAACGGUCGUGGCCAUUCUCUGUGGACAACCCAUCUGUUCCUUCCUUCCAUUACAGAUAUCCUUCGUUGGGUACUCCCAUUUGCAGACCAGAAGAAUCAUCUUCAUGUGGGAAUGGUGGCAUGCUCAAUUAUGAACAGGGAAAUGCAAUAGUCAGGAGAGGCAUGACAGAGAUCAACCAUAAAAGGGGCAUCCAAGAGAAUGGUGCUCAGCUUGAGGGUGAUUUUCUCACCUUGGGCCUUUCUGCAACUAGUUCAUCAUCUUCAAUGGUUUCCAAAUCUAAACAACCAUUGGAUUUCCUGGGUCUCCAUUACCGGGACUUAACAGAAUUCGAUUUGUUUCCAAUUCAAGGAAGCAUAGAACAACAGCCCUUCUACAGCUUCUUGCCCCCAAAGGGACAGGUUGGUCGAGCGGCCCCAAGCACAGACGACCAUAGUGGUGAAGCAGGUGAUAGUGUUGAUCUCAACUUAAAACUCUAGGCUUGGACUUGGAAGAGGUUAUGGUCAGGAUUCAGGAACGUGAUUUUUUCUCUCUUUCUUUAAUGCGCGGACUCUGGACUGCAUCUCUGAGAGAGCUUAUACGGAGAAGGUCCUUUGCCGGAGGGAACAAAUGUAUAAACCAGAACGGAUCCAUGUGUGCUGAGUUUGUUUAACCAAGGGCAACUAGGUAAAUUCAGUCUCCAGGUUCCGAAUGUUGGCCGAGGAUUUUGAGACCUCGGGAGAGGUGAGCCGAAGCCGAGGACCGUAGGCCAAGGCGAGGUACCCCCUCCGAGGGCCGUGGUAGCUGAGUAUUGUAGGYCGAGGCGAGGUCCCUGGUGACCAGAGAUACUGCAAGACGGGGAAUGUCAGAGGCCUCGGGCGGGUACCCGAGGUAGAGGCUCUGACGCUCAAGUUAGUACGAGGUGUAAAGUAGGAGAGGGUGUAGGUGAGGUCUUGGUGAUAGUCCUUGGAUGCACCAAAUCUCCGAGAGUAAAUGCUAAGGAGACAAGGUGGGUGUAAGGAGUAAACGAGUAAGCUGAGUUAGGAUUUUCUAUUCCAGAUCCCCUUUAAGGGGGAGCUACCUCUUAUUUAUACUUGAGCGUGCUAGAAGUAGGUGAAGAUGAACGCCCCAGAUGAGAGCCGUACGAGGUUAGGCGGUAGGCCCUGGUAGGUAUGUCUGACUGUCAUGCGGUUAGCUCCGUAUGAAGGCAACAAGGCUCCCUCCUGCUGUGGCUGACGCUGUCAGACGUUAGUGGGCUGGAAUUCCCAGCCUGCGAUGCUCUGGGCCAAGCUAACCCACAUCAUUUGCCCCCCACUCCCGAGGCCGAGACAAGGCCUUGGUUUCGGUUGGCAACGAGGGUAGUAGUCGAGGUAAGGCAUUGGCUUUUCUUGUUGGGAGUAGUGGUUGUUAUACCUUCGUAUUCAUUAGCCGACGGGUGUCCUGUAGUGGCAUCAUUUUCGCUGUGUGUGUCGUCCCUCUUUGGUUUGGGAAUGCGUGUGGUGUGGAUGUCUCAGUUUGGUAGAGGUGUCCCGUAUCAUGCACGGGCAGGCCACAUUUGGGGGCUACCGUGCGGGGGACGAUUAUUCCAGUAGUCAUGCGUUAGUUGGGUUAAGUAGUCUGCUCGGUGGUUCGCAAUGGGCGGGCUGCCACGGGCAAUUUUUGCAGUCCACCCGGUGUCGUUUCGCCUUCUGAGGGCAUGCGCUAGGAGGUGCGGUGGAACUGGUUCGUAGAAACGGAGAACUCCCGCAUCCGUUGGAUUUGCAUCGAUCUAAACCGUUGCUUUGGGCAUUGUUUUGUCUUCCGAGGCCGAGCGCUUGGUGGCACAUUACAGUUGGACGGUGGGAGCGGAUUCGUCUCCGCCGUCGGAUUCAGAGAGAUCCCGACCAUCCAUUUUCUUUUAAAUAGGGACCUUGGUGGUGAUUUUCUCUUUCAUUUGAACUUAGACGCCCUUGCUCUCAAGUGAACGCACCUCCCCAACUCUUAAUUCUCCAGGACUUUCCUAUUUCUUACUCUUUUCGGGACAUUUCACCCUCUCUUAGGUAAUCAAAUAUGUCGAUUUUAGAUUUCGACCUAGAAUGCCAUGAACUCUUGAACAUCUUGGGAGGGAGUUCUCCUACAACCCCUCUCCCUUGUCUUCCUUGGGUUCCUUAGCCGUAGCAUCCCUUUGUCGGGAGGUGGCCGUCUUUAGGGAAAGGUUAACCUCGGGGGGUGCCGAGGGUAGUCAUCAGGGGAAUGACUCUCCCCAUGAAAGCGCUGCCUCGGUGUCGCUGAGGGAGCCCGAGGGAUCUCCUAUCUUUGAGGUUGAUGUUGUGGGACUCGUCGCUUGAGCAAUGGGAGGGAGUAUUGCCCGAAGGGUGGCUGACGGUGGUGUCUCGCGUUCAGAGUUUGACAGCUCCUUGGAUGUGUGCCAGGUCAAAUCCCUGGCGAGGAGAUUCCACAUACCUUGGUCUUAUGACUCGAGGGUCCUCGAUGUGGGCGAUCAGCCGUGGACCCCCGAGGAGGGAGAAAUCUGUGUCUACCAUCAUUUUUUGGAGUUUGGCCUUAGGUUUCCCCUCCCUUAAUCUCUGAGUUGUUGGAGUGGUACGACAUCACUAUUAGCUAGCUCAUAUCCAACGCCCUUAGGACCAUCAUGGCGAUGAUGGUGUGGGCUCGGUUCAGGGGCGUGGAGUUGAUGUUGAGGCUAUUCUGUGCCAUGUUCGCACCAAGGCCAACAUGUAUUACUUCCACCCGAGAAGGGGGAAGCCUAUACAUAACCCCUCGUCCAUCCAUGCGUGGAGGAUAAGUUCUUCUACGUCUCCUACCGUGAGGGCUAGCGUUCAGGUCCGACUAGGGGGAUGCCUGUGUCAUCGUCAGGAGAUGUCCCCCACAGCUCCGAGACGAAGAGGCUGUAGCUGUAGCUCACCUGCUUGUGAUGGUGACAUUCCAGGCAAAGUCGUUGGUGGAGGAGGAGGUCCCCCUAGUUUUCGCUGGGAUUAGCCCCACCCCCCUCGGUAAGAGAGGUUUUGUGGUUAGUGCGUCUUCCACGUUCUUUUCUUUUUAAAUUUAUUGUACUAAAUGUUUUCCUUUGUUGUUUCGUUGAAGUGACAAUGGAUAUCAAGCAACGUUUGUUGGAGAAGUCCCAGGAGAAGUAGGCCGGGAAGAAAGUCGGAGGGCAAAUGCCGAAGAGGCCUGACGCUGAAGUUGCUCCCUGCCCCGGCGAAUGGGGGAAAUCCGCAAGUCCUCACCAAGGGGAAGCAGUCGGUGGUGGCACCCCAAAAAGUCACUAGUGGGGUGAAGAGGCCCUCGGAGGGGGCCAAAAUGUUAGACAGUUUUGUAUGCCCUUAGCAUCUGAUGUACUUUUGAUAUUUAGUGUAAAUAAAUAAAGUGCAUGUUUGAUUCAUGUUAUUUGGUAUAAUUCUGUGUAAGACAUUAAAACUGGACACGUAUAGAGACUCGUCUUAGUUUUAAAUGUUCACAGCCAUUGGAUAAG
Nelumbo nucifera (sacred lotus) is the source of this 4855-nucleotide non-coding RNA. NCBI's taxonomy places the organism in Eukaryota, Viridiplantae, Streptophyta, Magnoliopsida, Proteales, Nelumbonaceae. The record is from RefSeq and is a predicted model, not a curated record.